This is a non-coding RNA of Cajanus cajan (pigeon pea), 345 nucleotides long. The record is from RefSeq and is a predicted model, not a curated record. Lineage: Eukaryota; Viridiplantae; Streptophyta; Magnoliopsida; Fabales; Fabaceae.
AAGGAAAUUUCUCUGUCCCGCCUUAGUGAUGACGAGAAUGGACAACACAACGCGUAGCGGAAGUCGUUGCUGAGGAGUUGAAAACCAAACACAAAGUAACCUCGUUGGUUACGAAAUUUCAAACGGAACCAUGUCCACUAGAUUUCGCGGAUCACAAGAACACAAACGUGGUUCUUCUUCCAGAACCAGUACUUCACACGUUCCCCCUGCCCAAACUUCUCGACUUGUUGAUAUUUUGAAGGAUAAAAGUGUCGAUGAGUUGCAAAAGCUUUUAUCUAACAAAGACGCAUAUCAGCAGUUUCUAAGUUCACUUGAUGAGGUCAAGAUUCAAAAUAAUGUAAGAUG